Non-coding RNA from Pelobates cultripes (western spadefoot toad), 264 nucleotides. The record is from the annotation of a GenBank genome assembly. NCBI's taxonomy places the organism in Eukaryota, Metazoa, Chordata, Amphibia, Anura, Pelobatidae.
CCCAAACUUCCAAUUCCUCUCUUUUCUCUCCUUUGCAUAUCUUGCAUCUGCCUCCUUCGUAUCGUAUCUCUCUAUCUUCCCUUUGUCUUAACUUUUAAAGGGCCAGACUCUCUGUACGUCAUCAGUUGAUAACCCAAUAGAAGCACUAGAGGUGUGGUUAUCUUCCAGAUCGCAAAUUAGUUAUUUGGUCUGUAGAGGGCAGUCUUGUCCCACUAAACAUACCUAUCCAGGAAAGAGUUAACUUUUCCUGGUGGCUAUUUUGAC